UCGUCAGGUGGGAUAAUCCUUACCUGUUCCUCCUUCGGGAGGGCGGAUUGGAACAUGAUGAUUGGAGUUCGGAUGAUGCGUGAUUAGCGUCUCUGCGUAAUCAGGAUUUGCAACACCCAGAUUACUCCUAUCUGAU
This is a small nucleolar RNA of Manis pentadactyla (Chinese pangolin), 136 nucleotides long. RefSeq annotates it as U8 small nucleolar RNA. Lineage: Eukaryota; Metazoa; Chordata; Mammalia; Pholidota; Manidae. The record is from RefSeq and is a predicted model, not a curated record. The transcript has a single exon.